AGUGAACGCUGGCGGUAGGCCUAACACAUGCAAGUCGAACGGCAGCACAGUAAGAGUUUGCUCUUACGGGUGGCGAGUGGCGGACGGGUGAGGAAUACAUCGGAAUCUACUUUUUCGUGGGGGAUAACGUAGGGAAACUUACGCUAAUACCGCAUACGACCUACGGGUGAAAGCAGGGGAUCUUCGGACCUUGCACGAUUGAAUGAGCCGAUGUCGGAUUAGCUAGUUGGCGGGGUAAAGGCCCACCAAGGCGACGAUCCGUAGCUGGUCUGAGAGGAUGAUCAGCCACACUGGAACUGAGACACGGUCCAGACUCCUACGGGAGGCAGCAGUGGGGAAUAUUGGACAAUGGGCGCAAGCCUGAUCCAGCCAUACCGCGUGGGUGAAGAAGGCCUUCGGGUUGUAAAGCCCUUUUGUUGGGAAAGAAAAGCAGCAGGUUAAUACCCCGCUGUUCUGACGGUACCCAAAGAAUAAGCACCGGCUAACUUCGUG
Molecule: ribosomal RNA, 492 nt
Filed under: uncultured bacterium
Lineage: Bacteria
Description: partial 16S ribosomal RNA
Rfam family: Bacterial small subunit ribosomal RNA
Source: RNAcentral